GACUUAUACUACUUGACUCAUAUACCCUGGAGCGAUACAAGGCAGAUCGCCAAAGACGUGAUCAUGCUCUGGAAGCAAUUGAUGUGAAGGUACUCAAUGACCAAGAGAAAGCAGACGUGGACAUUCAACAUGCUGAAUUUUUGGCAUCGACAGUUUCUGCGGAUGCAUAUGCUGAGACGAUAUACUUGACACCGAGGAGGGUUUCGUUUCAGGGAGGAGAGGAUGAUAUGGCAAACACUAGAUCUAUUUGUACCGUCGACCACCAUUACAUACAAGAAGUUGGUCUGGUUUAAGUUAAGGCCGUUUCGCUCGUCACUGUUUGCGAUAACAUGAGGCAUAUUGAUCAGGAGAAAAUGAAGGUUGAAUUAGAAUCACAAUUUACUUCUUUGCCAAAAUACACAAUGCAUGCUUGGAUAUUAGGAAAGGAAGAAAAUAAUUCAAACAUAUACCGUUUGAUCAAAGCAUGUGUCAACUUGGUUGUUUCUUUUGGUUACCAUGUCCACAACAAGACUAUACUACAUGGACAUGAUACCUUUUGAUUGAGACUACCGAAAGUAUCCUAAUUGUUUACUACUUCUCAGGAUCAAGGCCACAGGAGAUAUAUGUGUAGGUGAGCAGGUCUAAAUGGUGGGUUUUGCUGUCCUUGAGAAACGUUGGAUGGGGGCUGCCAGGAAAUUGUGUUUAAUUACUUUAAGUAUUGAAAUUGUAAGGAUUACUUGCUAAGUUAAAGCUUGUGAUCAUAUUUACUUCCUUAGGUGUUGGUCAAGAGUUAGAGAUAAAGAUGUUUUUGUUUGUUUAACUUAUUAGGAAA
This is a non-coding RNA of Aegilops tauschii subsp. strangulata, 811 nucleotides long. NCBI's taxonomy places the organism in Eukaryota, Viridiplantae, Streptophyta, Magnoliopsida, Poales, Poaceae. The record is from RefSeq and is a predicted model, not a curated record.